UUGGUCUAAAUCGAUAUGGAUCCUACGUUUUGAAAAUGAAACCUACAUAAAACAGUGUGACAUACAUUGAUUUCACCCAA
Molecule: microRNA precursor, 80 nt
Filed under: Medicago truncatula (barrel medic)
Lineage: Eukaryota; Viridiplantae; Streptophyta; Magnoliopsida; Fabales; Fabaceae
Description: MIR5269 microRNA precursor family
Rfam family: MIR5269 microRNA precursor family
Source: Rfam by way of RNAcentral